GGGCGUGUAGCUCAGUUGGUCAGAGCGCAGGACUUAUAAGCCUGUGGUCGGUGGUUCAACUCCACCCACGCCCACCA
This 77-nucleotide transfer RNA is filed under the name Candidatus Peribacteria bacterium RIFCSPHIGHO2_02_FULL_51_15. RNAcentral describes it as "tRNA-Ile". It matches the Rfam family "tRNA". From Rfam's summary of the family: Transfer RNA (tRNA) molecules are approximately 80 nucleotides in length. RNAcentral also lists the same sequence under 1 other name. The record is from RNAcentral. Lineage: Bacteria; Candidatus Peregrinibacteriota; Candidatus Peribacteria.